AAACUUGAGCUAAUACCGGAUAAGCCCGAGAGGGGAAAGAUUUAUCGCCGAAGGAUUGGCCCGCGUCCGAUUAGCUAGUUGGUGAGGUAAUGGCUCACCAAGGCGACGAUCGGUAGCUGGUCUGAGAGGAUGAUCAGCCACACUGGGACUGAGACACGGCCCAGACUCNUACGGGAGGCAGCAGUGGGGAAUAUUGGACAAUGGGCGCAAGCCUGAUCCAGCCAUGCCGCGUGAGUGAUGAAGGCCCUAGGGUUGUAAAGCUCUUUCGCCAGGGACGAUAAUGACGGUACCUGGAUAAGAAGCCCCGGCUAACUUC
RNAcentral lists this ribosomal RNA (316 nucleotides) under uncultured Alphaproteobacteria bacterium. RNAcentral's name for it is "bacterial SSU rRNA". It matches the Rfam family "Bacterial small subunit ribosomal RNA", at positions 154 to 504 of the family's 1533-position model. Lineage: Bacteria; Pseudomonadati; Pseudomonadota; Alphaproteobacteria. The record is from RNAcentral.